RNAcentral lists this small nuclear RNA (164 nucleotides) under Canis lupus familiaris (dog). RNAcentral describes it as "U1 spliceosomal RNA (ENSCAFG00040012904.1, ENSCAFG00805010586.1, ENSCAFG00845013451.1)". It matches the Rfam family "U1 spliceosomal RNA". Rfam says of the family: U1 is a small nuclear RNA (snRNA) component of the spliceosome (involved in pre-mRNA splicing). Its 5' end forms complementary base pairs with the 5' splice junction, thus defining the 5' donor site of an intron. RNAcentral also lists the same sequence under 1 other name. Lineage: Eukaryota; Metazoa; Chordata; Mammalia; Carnivora; Canidae. The record is from Rfam by way of RNAcentral.
AUACUUACCUGGCAGGGGAGAUACCAUGAUCACAAAGGUGGUUUUCCCAGGGCGAGGCUUAUCCAUUGCACUUCGGAUGUGCUGACCCCUGCGAUUUCCCCAAAUGUGGGAAACUCGACUGCAUAAUUUGUGGUAGUGGGGGACUGCGUUCGCGCUUUCCCCUG